This 507-nucleotide ribosomal RNA is filed under the name uncultured Glomus. RNAcentral's name for it is "SSU rRNA". It matches the Rfam family "Eukaryotic small subunit ribosomal RNA", at positions 569 to 1081 of the family's 1831-position model. Lineage: Eukaryota; Fungi; Glomeromycota; Glomeromycetes; Glomerales; Glomeraceae. The record is from RNAcentral.
AGCAGCCGCGGUAAUUCCAGCUCCAAUAGCGUAUAUUAAAGUUGUUGCAGUUAAAAAGCUCGUAGUUGAACUUCAGGCCUGGCUGGAUGGUCCGCCUUCUGGGUGAGUACUGUCUGUGGUCGGGUCCUACCUUCUGGCGAAGCGUCAUGGCCUUCACCGGCCGUGGCGGGGAGCCAGGACUUUUACUGUGAAAAAUUAGAGUGUUCAAAGCAGGCACGCGCUUGAAUACAUUAGCAUGGAAUAAUGGAAUAGGACAGUGGUUCUAUUUGUCGGUUUCUAGGACCGUUGUAAUGAUUAAUAGGGAUAGUUGGGGGCAUUAGUAUUCAAUUGUCAGAGGUGAAAUUCUUGGAUUUAUUGAAGACUAACUACUGCGAAAGCAUUUGCCAAAGAUGUUUUCAUUAAUCAAGAACGAAAGUUAGGGGAUCGAAGACGAUCAGAUACCGUCGUAGUCUUAACCAUAAACUAUGCCGACUAGGAAUCGGGCGAUGUUGACAAAAUGACGCGCUC